This is a long non-coding RNA of Chelonus insularis, 1670 nucleotides long. RefSeq lists it as uncharacterized. NCBI's taxonomy places the organism in Eukaryota, Metazoa, Arthropoda, Insecta, Hymenoptera, Braconidae. The transcript is spliced from 5 exons. The record is from RefSeq and is a predicted model, not a curated record.
UAAGAUAUAUUGCAAUUAUUAUACAUAGCAAUUAUUAUAUACAUUAGCCUCAACUCUGAAGAUAUUCUAAUCAGUAUAAUUAAUUAAUCUGCAAAUUACAUCACAGCAAUUAGGUGAAAUUGUUAACAAUAUUAUUCACCAAUUUCUAAAAAGCGAAUCUUUAUAUAUUCACCUGAGUAAAAUGGCUAAUGAUAGGUAUUAGUAAUAAUUGGUAAUUAGCAGAACAUAAUUUGACAAGUUGUCAGCAUAUUAUAUCAAACUUAUUCGUGGUACUCGUAUUAUCAGCAUGUUUAUUUAGAAAUUUGAGAAAAUUAAAAUAAAGUAGUUUUGAGUUAUGAUUAAAUUGGUAAGACAUUGAUAAAAUUUAAUGCAUCAAACGUAAUAUACUAACUACUGUAUUUGAUAACUCUUCUUCGAUAUUGAAAUUUAGUUUGCUAAUUAAGAGGGAAAUACAGAGGUGCUAAUGACGUAAAGAUGAUUUUUAUAAAGAAUCUACCACCGCAUACUUCUGGAAAUAAACAACAGUAAAUUGAGCUCUAAAGCUAGAGAGUUAGCUCAUGAGCUAAUUGUAACUGCAAGUGGAAUUCAUUUACCCAAAGUAGCUAUUAAAUGAGCAAGUGAGGAUAAAAUCAAUAUACAGGAUAAAAUCAAAGCAGUUUUGUGGUUAAUUUGGAACAAGUAUGGCUGUCGCAUUAAAAAAAAAAAACAACAUUCGAAACAAACAUGAAGAAAAGUGUCGACGAGUUCCCCUUGCAUGUUGACACGGAUAAGCUGAAAAUGUAUAACGAUGCAUCUGUUAGGUUGAUAUAUAACAACUAAAAACAGAGCAGAUCAUUAGAAGUAACAGACACCUGAGUAAAGACGGAAGCUCGUUAUCUGAAUCUGUUUGGUAUAAUUUAGUUGCUCUCUUCACUAUUUUUUAUUGUCUCUCCGCCUUUUCACAUUUUGCUUUGAUUGUGUACUUUGGAAACUUCGAGGAUGAAUUGCUCUGUAAAAUGAAAUCCAACGAAAUGUCUUAAAGCUAAAUUUAAUCAAAAAAACAAUCAAUACAAUUUUGAAUAUUUACUGACGAUGGAAUCUAAGAGACUAAAAAGUUUAAUGAAAGAAAAAAAGCUGGCACUGAGUCAUAAUUUCAUAUUUUCAUGGAGUUGCGAAACUUUAAUGACAGACUGUGGGUCGGUUAACCAUUAAUUUAUUGUGGACAGGGUGUAAAGUACUUCUAGAAGGACAUACUUUUUAUAGUAGUUUAUUACGUUUGUAUAAAUAUUUAUGAAGUAAAAGCUAUCAAAAGAGAAAUUUAAUAUGCUUUAAAUCUCUAACUGGAAUGUAGUAAGAUCCUUCCUCAUAGUCUGUAAGAAGUAUUUAUUUUUUAAUUACUUUAUUACAUUAUACCAAAAUUGUACGUGCUUUGCGGUUGAAAAUUUACUACGGAGUAUUAAUUUUCUAUCAUAUCUGAAACUUGAGAAAGAUGAACCUACCACAGAAUAUGAUAGUCUGGAAUCUGUACUAAUUCCAGUAAAUGGAUAAGCGAAUGUAAUUAGCAUAAUCUCGGAAACAUUAUCAACUGAUCAAUGUAUGCGCAGAAUUAUUACAGCUUUAUUAAUAUGCAGUUAGUUUGUAUCAUUGAUAUUCAUGAAAAUAUGUAAAAAUAAAAAUGUAAAAGAACUUCA